AUAAAUUAUUUGAGAAAGAAUUAUAUUUGUGUUUUAUCAUUUUACUUUUUAAGUUUAAAAAAACAUGAAUUUUAAAAUGAAAAGAAAAAUUUAUCAUUGGGUUAGAAUGGUUGAUUGAAGGGUUGAUUUCUUAAACCGAAAUAAACCUAACCUGACUUUAUAAUGGUUAAAAUUAACCCAACUAAACUGAUUUUUGGGUUCAAGUCAACCCGACUUUAUUUGGUUCAAUAGGUUUUUUUGAUUUUUUUUGCCCACCUCUAGAUGUAGAUAUGUCAAAUGAACCAGUCAUAUGAUAGAUCUCGUACGAAAGAUCUUUUGGAUGAGGUGAAGCUAUAAGAGACACCUUGUGGAGUAAAGACUUAUCGCUUCGAAAACCAUUUUCUAUUAGUAAAUGUGUCCUUAUUCCUCAUUUGAAGGCUCCUUGUAAGGCUUGCUGGAAAAAUUGUUGUCGGACUUGAUUAAUCGCCCUUUGCUGUUCGAAAUGUUAUACACAAUUGGAUUUUUUUUUUUUUUUUUUUUUUUUGUGACAAGACCCAUCUCGAAUCACUCUAGUGGACCUGAAACGUGAUAUGUGUCGAUAAUAGAUGUUAACUAAAUGCCAGAUCUAUCACCAAGGCUAAUCAUGAGCUGCCACAAAAUAUUGAAUAAAAUCAAACGUUUAUGUAAAAUAUAAUGCAAUGAGCCCAAAAUAAUUACUUCAAAUUUUACCAAAAUGAAUCAUAUCACUCAAUAUGUCAUGUGGCUCUAAUUCUAAAACCACCAGGCUCUUCAAACUAUCAAGGACCAAUAAUACCUGUAAGAAAAAUUGUGAAAAAAUAUAAGUUUAUAGCUCAAUAGGUAGAAGAGUUCGAAAAUAAUUAUACUUUUUCAUUUAAACAUUUUUUUCAUGCAUAGAUAUCAAGUUCAUAUCGUUUAGUAAUUCACAUGAUAGCCUCAUACAAUUAUAGCAAAAUUUGAGAUAUUCUCAUAACACUGUAAAUAUCAUCACAUAUUCAUGAUAUAGUCAUCA
RNAcentral lists this long non-coding RNA (1009 nucleotides) under Olea europaea subsp. europaea. The record is from RNAcentral. Lineage: Eukaryota; Viridiplantae; Streptophyta; Magnoliopsida; Lamiales; Oleaceae.